This 771-nucleotide ribosomal RNA is filed under the name uncultured Neocallimastigales. Its description in RNAcentral is "partial large subunit ribosomal RNA". It matches the Rfam family "Eukaryotic large subunit ribosomal RNA", at positions 26 to 637 of the family's 3401-position model. The record is from RNAcentral. Lineage: Eukaryota; Fungi; Neocallimastigomycota; Neocallimastigomycetes; Neocallimastigales.
CGCAUCUGUGCAUGCAGCAUAUCAAUAAGCGGAGGAAAAGAAACUAACAAGGAUUCCCUCAGUAACGGCGAGUGAAGCGGGAAGAGCUCAAAUUUGAAAUCUUGAAAGGUCACCUUUCACGAAUUGUAGUUUAAAGAAGUGUUUUCUGUUACGAUCGUAAUAUAAGUUCCUUGGAAUAGGACAUCACAGAGGGUGAGAAUCCCGUCUAUGAUUGCGAUUUGUAGCUUUGUGAUACACUUUCAAAGAGUCGGGUUGUUUGGGAAUGCAGCCCAAAACGGGAGGUAAAUUUCUUCUAAGGCUAAAUAUUGGCGAGAGACCGAUAGCGAACAAGUACCGUGAGGGAAAGAUGAAAAGAACUUUGAAAAGAGAGUUAAAUAGUACGUGAAAUUGUCAAAAGGGAAGCGUUUAACACCAGUGUUGUUUUCUGAAAAUCAACCUCUGUUAGCUUUAUGCAUGUUUGUUUAGACCUAAUCAGCUAUCUUGCAUGUUCUAUUGUUUGCAGUGGUGCACUUUUCAGUUUACAGGUCAACAUCAGUUUUUUUUACCGUAAAAAAGUUAAAGAAAGGUAGCUCAUGGCUCCGGUCGUGAGUGUUAUAGUCUUUUUCCUAUGCGGUAGGAGAGACUGAGGUCUGCAGUGUAGGCUAUUUGGCUAGAUACUCAGGUGCUAUGUGAUACCAUUUCAUAAACAACUUGUUGAUUAUGUUUUGUCUAUUGCAUACUCGCUUGUACUAUCAUACCUACGCUUAGGAUGUUGACGAUCAGCUGAGCGCG